RNAcentral lists this ribosomal RNA (496 nucleotides) under uncultured bacterium. Its description in RNAcentral is "partial 16S ribosomal RNA". It matches the Rfam family "Bacterial small subunit ribosomal RNA", at positions 29 to 507 of the family's 1533-position model. The record is from RNAcentral.
AUGCACGCUGGCGGCGUGCCUAAUACCUGCAAGUCGCGCGAACGGACGAGAAGCUUGCUUCUCUGAUGUUAGCGGCGGACGGGUGAGUAACACGUGGAUAACCUACCUAUAAGACUGGGAUAACUUCGGGAAACCGGAGCUAAUACCGGAUAAUAUUUUGAACCGCAUGGUUCAAAAGUGAAAGACGGUCUUGCUGUCACUUAUAGAUGGAUCCGCGCUGCAUUAGCUAGUUGGUAAGGUAACGGCUUACCAUGGCAACGAUGCAUAGCCGACCUGAGAGGGUGAUCGGCCACACUGGAACUGAGACACGGUCCAGACUCCUACGGGAGGCAGCAGUAGGGAAUCUUCCGCAAUGGGCGAAAGCCUGACGGAGCAACGCCGCGUGAGUGAUGAAGGUCUUCGGAUCGUAAAACUCUGUUAUUAGGGAAGAACAUAUGUGUAAGUAACUGUGCACAUCUUGACGGUACCUAAUCAGAAAGCCACGGCUAACUACGUG